GAUGAACGCUAGCGGCAGGCCUAAUACAUGCAAGUCGAACGAUACUUUCCAGCUUGCUGGAAAGGAAAGUGGCGCACGGGUGCGUAACGCGUAUGCAACCUACCUUAAUCAGGGGGAUAGCCCGAAGAAAUUCGGAUUAACACCGCAUAAAAUCACAGUACAGCAUUGUACAAUGAUCAAAUAUUUAUAGGAUUAAGAUGGGCAUGCGUGACAUUAGCUAGUUGGCGGGGUAACGGCCCACCAAGGCGACGAUGUCUAGGGGAUCUGAGAGGAUGACCCCCCACACUGGUACUGAGACACGGACCAGACUCCUACGGGAGGCAGCAGUAAGGAAUAUUGGUCAAUGGAGGCAACUCUGAACCAGCCAUGCCGCGUGCAGGAAGACAGCCCUCUGGGUCGUAAACUGCUUCUAUUCGGGAAUAAACCUACUUACGUGUAAGUAGCUGAAUGUACCGAAGGAAUAAGGAUCGGCUAACUCCGUGCCAGCAGCCGCCGUAA
RNAcentral lists this ribosomal RNA (498 nucleotides) under uncultured bacterium. RNAcentral describes it as "partial 16S ribosomal RNA". It matches the Rfam family "Bacterial small subunit ribosomal RNA", at positions 28 to 523 of the family's 1533-position model. The record is from RNAcentral.